CCUACGGGGGGCUGCAGUGGGGAAUAUUGGACAAUGGGCGCAAGCCUGAUCCAGCCAUACCGCGUGGGUGAAGAAGGCCUUCGGGUUGUAAAGCCCUUUUGUUGGGAAAGAAAAGCAGCGGGCUAAUACCCAGCUGUUCUGACGGUACCCAAAGAAUAAGCACCGGCUAACUUCGUGCCAGCAGCCGCGGUAAUACGAAGGGUGCAAGCGUUACUCGGAAUUACUGGGCGUAAAGCGUGCGUAGGUGGUUGUUUAAGUCUGUUGUGAAAGCCCUGGGCUCAACCUGGGAACUGCAGUGGAAACUGGAUGACUAGAGUGUGGUAGAGGGUAGCGGAAUUCCCGGUGUAGCAGUGAAAUGCGUAGAGAUCGGGAGGAACAUCCAUGGCGAAGGCAGCUACCUGGACCAACACUGACACUGAGGCACGAAAGCGU
This 432-nucleotide ribosomal RNA is filed under the name uncultured bacterium. RNAcentral's name for it is "bacterial SSU rRNA". It matches the Rfam family "Bacterial small subunit ribosomal RNA", at positions 338 to 762 of the family's 1533-position model. The record is from RNAcentral.